Molecule: ribosomal RNA, 293 nt
Filed under: uncultured bacterium
Lineage: Bacteria
Description: partial 16S ribosomal RNA
Rfam family: Archaeal small subunit ribosomal RNA
Source: RNAcentral
GUGCCAGCCGCCGCGGUAAUACCGGCAGCCCGAGUGAUGGCCGAUCUUAUUGGGCCUAAAGCGUCCGUAGCUGGCUGCGCAAGUCCGUCGGGAAAUCCACUCGCUCAACGAGUGGGCGUCCGACGGAAACUGCACAGCUUGGGACAGGAAGGCUCGAGGGGUACGUUCGGGGUAGGAGUGAAAUCCCGUAAUCCUGAACGGACCGCCGAUGGCGAAAGCACCUCGAGAGGACUGAUCCGACAGUGAGGGACGAAAGCUGGGGUCUCGAACCGGAUUAGAAACCCGGGUAGUCC